AGAGUUUGAUCAUGGCUCAGAUUGAACGCUGGCGGCAGGCCUAACACAUGCAAGUCGAGCGGUAGCACAGAGAGCUUGCUCUCGGGUGACGAGCGGCGGACGGGUGAGUAAUGUCUGGGAAACUGCCUGAUGGAGGGGGAUAACUACUGGAAACGGUAGCUAAUACCGCAUAACGUCGCAAGACCAAAGUGGGGGACCUUCGGGCCUCAUGCCAUCAGAUGUGCCCAGAUGGGAUUAGCUAGUAGGUGGGGUAACGGCUCACCUAGGCGACGAUCCCUAGCUGGUCUGAGAGGAUGACCAGCCACACUGGAACUGAGACACGGUCCAGACUCCUACGGGAGGCAGCAGUGGGGAAUAUUGCACAAUGGGCGCAAGCCUGAUGCAGCCAUGCCGCGUGUGUGAAGAAGGCCUUCGGGUUGUAAAGCACUUUCAGCGGGGAGGAAGGCGGUGAGGUUAAUAACCUCACCGAUUGACGUUACCCGCAGAAGAAGCACCGGCUAACUCCGUGCCAGCAGCCGCGGUAAUACGGAGGGUGCAAGCGUUAAUCGGAAUUACUGGGCGUAAAGCGCACGCAGGCGGUCUGUCAAGUCGGAUGUGAAAUCCCCGGGCUCAACCUGGGAACUGCAUUCGAAACUGGCAGGCUAGAGUCUUGUAGAGGGGGGUAGAAUUCCAGGUGUAGCGGUGAAAUGCGUAGAGAUCUGGAGGAAUACCGGUGGCGAAGGCGGCCCCCUGGACAAAGACUGACGCUCAGGUGCGAAAGCGUGGGGAGCAAACAGGAUUAGAUACCCUGGUAGUCCACGCCGUAAACGAUGUCGAUUUGGAGGUUGUGCCCUUGAGGCGUGGCUUCCGGAGCUAACGCGUUAAAUCGACCGCCUGGGGAGUACGGCCGCAAGGUUAAAACUCAAAUGAAUUGACGGGGGCCCGCACAAGCGGUGGAGCAUGUGGUUUAAUUCGAUGCAACGCGAAGAACCUUACCUGGUCUUGACAUCCACAGAACUUUCCAGAGAUGGAUUGGUGCCUUCGGGAACUGUGAGACAGGUGCUGCAUGGCUGUCGUCAGCUCGUGUUGUGAAAUGUUGGGUUAAGUCCCGCAACGAGCGCAACCCUUAUCCUUUGUUGCCAGCGGUUCGGCCGGGAACUCAAAGGAGACUGCCAGUGAUAAACUGGAGGAAGGUGGGGAUGACGUCAAGUCAUCAUGGCCCUUACGACCAGGGCUACACACGUGCUACAAUGGCAUAUACAAAGAGAAGCGACCUCGCGAGAGCAAGCGGACCUCAUAAAGUAUGUCGUAGUCCGGAUUGGAGUCUGCAACUCGACUCCAUGAAGUCGGAAUCGCUAGUAAUCGUAGAUCAGAAUGCUACGGUGAAUACGUUCCCGGGCCUUGUACACACCGCCCGUCACACCAUGGGAGUGGGUUGCAAAAGAAGUAGGUAGCUUAACCUUCGGGAGGGCGCUUACCACUUUGUGAUUCAUGACUGGGGUGAAGUCGUAACAAGGUAACCGUAGGGGAACCUGCGGUUGGAUCACCU
Molecule: ribosomal RNA, 1528 nt
Filed under: Klebsiella pneumoniae
Lineage: Bacteria; Pseudomonadati; Pseudomonadota; Gammaproteobacteria; Enterobacterales; Enterobacteriaceae
Description: bacterial SSU rRNA
Rfam family: Bacterial small subunit ribosomal RNA
Source: RNAcentral